RNAcentral lists this ribosomal RNA (253 nucleotides) under uncultured bacterium. Its description in RNAcentral is "partial 16S ribosomal RNA". It matches the Rfam family "Bacterial small subunit ribosomal RNA", at positions 524 to 776 of the family's 1533-position model. The record is from RNAcentral.
UACGUAGGGGGCUAGCGUUGUCCGGAAUCAUUGGGCGUAAAGAGCGUGUAGGCGGCCCGGUAAGUCCGCUGUGAAAGUCGGGGGCUCAACCCUCGAAUGCCGGUGGAUACUGUCGGGCUAGAGUGCGGAAGAGGCGAGUGGAAUUCCUGGUGUAGCGGUGAAAUGCGCAGAUAUCAGGAGGAACACCAAUUGCGAAGGCAGCUCGCUGGGACGUAACUGACGCUGAGACGCGAAAGCAUGGGGAGCGAACAGG